AAGGUUGGCUAAUCCUGGUCGGACAUCAGGAGGUUAGUGCAAUGGCAUAAGCCAGCUUGACUGCGAGCGUGACGGCGCGAGCAGGUGCGAAAGCAGGUCAUAGUGAUCCGGUGGUUCUGAAUGGAAGGGCCAUCGCUCAACGGAUAAAAGGUACUCCGGGGAUAACAGGCUGAUACCGCCCAAGAGUUCAUAUCGACGGCGGUGUUUGGCACCUCGAUGUCGGCUCAUCACAUCCUGGGGCUGAAGUAGGUCCCAAGGGUAUGGCUGUUCGCCAUUUAAAGUGGUACGCGAGCUGGGUUUAGAACGUCGUGAGACAGUUCGGUCCCUAUCUGCCGUGGGCGCUGGAGAACUGAGGGGGGCUGCUCCUAGUACGAGAGGACCGGAGUGGACGCAUCACUGGUGUUCGGGUUGUCAUGCCAAUGGCACUGCCCGGUAGCUAAAUGCGGAAGAGAUAAGUGCUGAAAGCAUCUAAGCACGAAACUUGCCCCGAGAUGAGUUCUCCCUGAGACUUAGAGUCUCCUGAAGGAACGUUGAAGACGACGACGUUGAUAGGCCGGGUGUGUA
Molecule: ribosomal RNA, 564 nt
Filed under: Salmonella enterica subsp. enterica serovar Enteritidis
Lineage: Bacteria; Pseudomonadati; Pseudomonadota; Gammaproteobacteria; Enterobacterales; Enterobacteriaceae
Description: bacterial LSU rRNA
Rfam family: Bacterial large subunit ribosomal RNA
Source: RNAcentral